Molecule: non-coding RNA, 83 nt
Filed under: uncultured Lawsonibacter sp.
Lineage: Bacteria; Bacillati; Bacillota; Clostridia; Eubacteriales; Oscillospiraceae
Description: NiCo riboswitch
Rfam family: NiCo (Nickel/Cobalt) riboswitch aptamer
Source: RNAcentral
ACAGUACAAACUGAACAGGCGAUGGCCACCCGGCCAUUUGCCGGGCCACCAUGGCAGCAGGCGUUAAGCAUCUGCGGGACAGU